UACGUAGGGGGCCAGCGUUGUCCGGAUUCAUUGGGCGUAAAGCGCGUGUAGGCGGCCAGGUAGGUCCGAUGUGAAAUCUGGAGGCUCAACCUCCAGCGGUCAUUGGAAACCAUCUGGCUAGAGUCCGGAAGAGGAGAGUGGAAUUCCUGGUGUAGCGGUGAAAUGCGUAGAGAUCGGAAAGAACACCAACGGCGAAAGCACUCUGCUGGGCCGACACUGACACUGAGAGACGAAAGCUAGGGGAGCGAAUGGG
This 253-nucleotide ribosomal RNA is filed under the name uncultured bacterium. Its description in RNAcentral is "partial 16S ribosomal RNA". It matches the Rfam family "Bacterial small subunit ribosomal RNA", at positions 524 to 776 of the family's 1533-position model. The record is from RNAcentral.